GACAGAAAGACUCACAGGGACCCCUUGGA
Molecule: non-coding RNA, 29 nt
Filed under: Mus musculus (house mouse)
Lineage: Eukaryota; Metazoa; Chordata; Mammalia; Rodentia; Muridae
Source: RNAcentral